GACGAACGCUGGCGGCGCGCCUAACACAUGCAAGUCGAACGAGCGAGAGAGAGCUGGCUUUCUCGAGCGAGUGGCGAACGGGUGAGUAACGCGUGAGGAACCUGCCUCAAAGAGGGGGACAACAGUUGGAAACGACUGCUAAUACCGCAUAAGCCCACGGUGCCGCAUGGCACAGAGGGAAAAGGAGCAAUCCGCUUUGAGAAGGCCUCGCGUCCGAUUAGCUAGUUGGUGAGGUAACGGCCCACCAAGGCGACGAUCGGUAGCCGGACUGAGAGGUUGAACGGCCACAUUGGGACUGAGACACGGCCCAGACUCCUACGGGAGGCAGCAGUGGGGAAUAUUGCACAAUGGGGGAAACCCUGAUGCAGCGACGCCGCGUGGAGGAAGAAGGUCUUCGGAUUGUAAACUCCUGUUGUUGGGGAAGAUAAUGACGGUACCCAACAAGGAAGUGACGGCUAACUACGUGCCAGCAGCCGCGGUAAAACGUAGGUCACAAGCGUUGUCCGGAAUUACUGGGUGUAAAGGGAGCGCAGGCGGGAAGACAAGUUGGAAGUGAAAUCUAUGGGCUCAACCCAUAAACUGCUUUCAAAACUGUUUUUCUUGAGUAGUGCAGAGGUAGGCGGAAUUCCCGGUGUAGCGGUGGAAUGCGUAGAUAUCGGGAGGAACACCAGUGGCGAAGGCGGCCUACUGGGCACCAACUGACGCUGAGGCUCGAAAGUGUGGGUAGCAAACAGGAUUAGAUACCCUGGUAGUCCAUACCGUAAACGAUGAUUACUAGGUGUUGGAGGAUUGACCCCUUCAGUGCCGCAGUUAACACAAUAAGUAAUCCACCUGGGGAGUACGACCGCAAGGUUGAAACUCAAAGGAAUUGACGGGGGCCCGCACAAGCAGUGGAGUAUGUGGUUUAAUUCGACGCAACGCGAAGAACCUUACCAAGUCUUGACAUCCCUUGACAGACAUAGAAAUAUGUAUUCUCUUCGGAGCAAGGAGACAGGUGGUGCAUGGUUGUCGUCAGCUCGUGUCGUGAGAUGUUGGGUUAAGUCCCGCAACGAGCGCAACCCUUAUGGUCAGUUACUACGCAAGAGGACUCUGGCCAGACCGCCGUUGACAAAACGGAGGAAGGUGGGGAUGACGUCAAAUCAUCAUGCCCUUUAUGACUUGGGCUACACACGUACUACAAUGGCGUUAAACAAAGAGAAGCAAGACCGCGAGGUGGAGCAAAACUCAGAAACAACGUCCCAGUUCGGACUGCAGGCUGCAACUCGCCUGCACGAAGUCGGAAUUGCUAGUAAUCGUGGAUCAGCAUGCCACGGUGAAUACGUUCCCGGGCCU
This 1332-nucleotide ribosomal RNA is filed under the name uncultured bacterium. RNAcentral's name for it is "bacterial SSU rRNA". It matches the Rfam family "Bacterial small subunit ribosomal RNA", at positions 28 to 1381 of the family's 1533-position model. The record is from RNAcentral.